AAAAGAACCUGAAACCGUGUACGUACAAGCAGUGGGAGCCCCACCACUAAGCCAGUGGUGAACUCCACAUACGCAUCCUUUGCUGAGGAUACGGUUAACGGAGCGAAAGCGACGUUCAACCGCAAAAGAAGCAGAGGGGGCUUAGUGGUGGGGUGACUGCGUACCUUUUGUAUAAUGGGUCAGCGACUUAUAUUCUGUAGCAAGGUUAACCGUAUAGGGGAGCCGGAGGGAAACCGAGUCUUAAUUGGGCGUUAA
Molecule: ribosomal RNA, 255 nt
Filed under: Salmonella enterica subsp. enterica serovar Chester
Lineage: Bacteria; Pseudomonadati; Pseudomonadota; Gammaproteobacteria; Enterobacterales; Enterobacteriaceae
Description: partial 23S ribosomal RNA
Rfam family: Bacterial large subunit ribosomal RNA
Source: RNAcentral